GAUCAUGGCUCAGGAUGAACGCUGGCGGCGUGCUUAACACAUGCAAGUCGAACGAAGCACUUUAUUACAAUUUCUUCGGAAUGACGAUUUAGUGACUGAGUGGCGAACGGGUGAGUAACGCGUGAGGAACCUGCCUCAAAGAGGGGGACAACAGUUGGAAACGACUGCUAAUACCGCAUAAGCCCACGGCUCGGCAUCGAGCAGAGGGAAGAGGAAUGAUCCGCUUUGAGAUGG
Molecule: ribosomal RNA, 234 nt
Filed under: uncultured bacterium
Lineage: Bacteria
Description: partial 16S ribosomal RNA
Rfam family: Bacterial small subunit ribosomal RNA
Source: RNAcentral